GAACGCUGGUGGCAUGCUUAACACAUGCAAGUCGAACGGUACAGGACUAGCUUGCUAGUUGCUGACGAGUGGCGGACGGGUGAGUAACGCGUAGGAAUCUGCCCAUCUGAGGGGGAUACCAGUUGGAAACGACUGUUAAUACCGCAUAGUAUCUGUGGAUUAAAGGUGGCUUUUGGGCUGUCGCAGAUGGAUGAGCCUGCGUUGGAUUAGCUAGUUGGUGGGGUAAGGGCCUACCAAGGCUACGAUCCAUAGCUGAUUUGAGAGGAUGAUCAGCCACAUUGGAACUGAGACACGGCC
RNAcentral lists this ribosomal RNA (297 nucleotides) under uncultured Francisella sp. RNAcentral describes it as "partial 16S ribosomal RNA". It matches the Rfam family "Bacterial small subunit ribosomal RNA", at positions 31 to 331 of the family's 1533-position model. The record is from RNAcentral. Lineage: Bacteria; Pseudomonadati; Pseudomonadota; Gammaproteobacteria; Thiotrichales; Francisellaceae.